This 581-nucleotide long non-coding RNA is filed under the name Pan troglodytes (chimpanzee). Its description in RNAcentral is "lncRNA (ENSPTRG00000054287.1)". Lineage: Eukaryota; Metazoa; Chordata; Mammalia; Primates; Hominidae. The record is from RNAcentral.
AAUGAGAUAAUCUGUUGAAAGUCCUUGACCUAAUAUCUGUCCUAUGGAAGUGGUCAUAAAUGCUGGCUAUUAUUACCAUUAUUAUUAAGAUGGAAUGAUGAUGACGAUGAUGAUGAUGAUGAUGACGAUGAUGAGAUGACAAUCAUUAUGAUGAAAGAGAAGGACCAAAGGAAAGAAAACAGGAAUGAGAGUGUUCCUAGUAAUGGAAAAGGAGAAUCUCAGCAUUCCACCAAGAAAAUCUCCAAAAAAGGAAAAGCAAAUGAGCAGGGCUGUUUCUGAGGAUAUGAAAUACUUUACAAUUAAAUAAGGAAGAAGAGGAAACAUUCCAGACAGAAGCAAUCUCUUACUGCAAGAGAAUAAGAAGUAAUAAGAAUUUUCAUCAUUUGAAAUGCAGCCAUGUGGCAAUUUUAUCCAUCCAGAACAACUGACAUACAGUAAAUACUUAACAUGUAGCAGAUUCUGCUGUGUUUUUUGAUGUCUUGUUAUAUUAAAUCUCUUCAACCACACUAUGAGGUAGGUGUGUCUUUCCUUCUCAUUCUGUGAAGUAAGGAAAUGGAGUCAUAGAGAAGUUACAUGUGCAG